ACACACACACGCACAGACUCUCACACACACACACACACACACACAGACACACUCACACGCACACACACACACACACACAGACUCUCACACACACACACAGACACACACACGCACAGACUCUCACACACACGCACACACACACAUGCUGGCCUUGCACAGUUGUUUACUGACAGGAGACGCGGUCUCCAAUGGGACGUAUGUGACUUUGACGUGUUCAGACAUUACUGCACGUGAGUGACAUGCGUGUGAUCUGAAUCAAACACGGACGUUUCCGGAACAUGUGUCCCGCAAAAGGGCACGUCACACACACACAACCCAGAAUAGAAAACAACAAGUACAGUGAAUGGAUUUAAAUAUAUACAUAUAUAAAUGGAAAAAUAUUUACAAUUACAUUGAAAAUAUAUUGAUCAAUCUUCACCAGGUUCGCUGUUGUAAUAUAUGCGUAUAGUAUGUAAACCUAGCAUAAAUUUUAAUCAAUAUCAUUAAAACAUUCAUGUUAUCUUGUCUUUCUGUAUAAAAUCUAUUACAUUCUGUGUUUCCCUACAGAGAACUAAACAUCUACGACAUGAACCACACAAAUACUAAACGCAAGCACACACGUGCGCACACACACAGCACUGUAAGAUACACAUACACAAAACGCAGGAUUCCCUUUAAACACAAAGAUUAUUAUUAUUAUGAUUUUGUCUUUUUCUAGAUAUGUAUUUAUUUAUGAACAAGGAAUCAGUGUGCCAUUUAUUAUUGGUUUUGACAUUUGUUUUGACAUACUUUGCUGCUAUCUUGACUAUUAUUUAUGAAACUGAAACUUCCUAUAAUGUUGGUAUUAUAUGAUCAUUAUCUCAAUCAUUAUUAUAAUUAUUGGCUCAAUUUCUAAGUGGGUUUGAUAAGCAGACACUUCAGUAACUGUUAUAAUGAACUAUAAUGUUUAUAUUUUGGGGAUUUUAUAACUGAGUACUGAUUUCUAGCUGGGAUGAAGCUUUUGCAUUUGCCUGGUCUUAAGAUGGCUGCUGUCACUCCGUAUGUAUUCCAGUUUAACACACUGGCGGUUAAAUGGUCUAAAGCCCUGCUCCUCAAAUCACGGUCCAGAGGGCCAAGAGCUGCUGAUAUUCCAUCCUCCCUUUACCUGGGAGUCAGGUGUGAUCACCCUCCCUUUACCUGGGAGUCAGGUGUGUUCACCCUCCCUUUACCUGGGAGUCAGGUGGAGUCAGGUGUGUUCACCCUACCUUUACCUGGGAGUCAGGUGGAGUCAGGUGUGUUCACCCUACCUUUACCUGGGAGUCAGGUGGAGUCAGGUGUGUUCACCCUACCUUUACCUGGGAGUCAGGUGUGAUCACCCUCCCUUUACCUGGGAGUCAGGUGGAGUCAGGUGUGAUCACCCUCCCUUUACCUGGGAGUCAGGUUUGAUGACAGUCUGGCCUGUCACCUGCACUAGUUGUUCAUUUUUUUUACCUGGAAGGAAAGGACGACAGGGCUGGGUGUGGAUUUGAGGCCAGAGUUGAGGAUUUGUGGUCUAAAGAGUGUGCCUGUGGUGUUAUGCCAGCGUCCGUGUGUUACAGUUGGGUAGGUACUUUCUUCCUGUUUGUAGCUGGGAAUAGGAACGUCUGGGAAUAUUAAUAUUUGAGAACGGGAAUAUUUGAAAAUAGGAAUUUUACAUUCAAUUAGUUUGGUUGAGACUGAAUGUAAAAUUCCUAUUGUCAUAUGGAAUCAGCUGCAAACAGGAAGAGGAUUGCUGAUCUGUGCCAAAUGUACCUCCUCACCCCCCAUCAAAAAAAGACAAAAUGCAGCUCCUAUAAAUAUAGGAGAAAAUGGCAGCUUUCAUGUUCAGACCAAAAACGUUUAUGUGAUAUCAUCUCUGGUGAAAAGGUUUGAGCUAUGCUUAAAGAUGCACACACUUGCUUAGACCUGGAGACUGUUAACAGCCAAAUACAAUCACCUUUUACAGUUUGUAUAUCUACUCUUCAGAAGAAAAACAUUAAAAGAAUGAAGUUUAAUAAUUUCAUGAAGUCUCCAUCGUUUUUGAAAACAGGCAAUGAAGCAGGCAGCCUGGAGCCUGUUAGUGUAUCCACUAGACUGCUUCUCUUCCCGCGUAAGAAAUGUUCAGCAAAAUGGCAAGAACAUUAAAUAAACGGUUUGUCUGUGGCUUUGUGCAGGCUGGAGGCGUGCACUGUGUUGUGGGUCUGUUGUCUUUAUAGGGAACACUAAUUAGAAUCAGAAACCCUGUUUGGAGUUUUGCAUUUUGUAUUGAAUCUGUGGGGAGAAACUUUGAAAGCAAGUAUGAGGUUUAAACCUGUGACGAUGUCCAGUCUUGUUGUUUGUUCCACAGAGAGGUUACAUUUAAACUGUCCUGAUUAUCUGGCAUAGUUUUGUUUUUCAGAUUUUUCACACAAUGUGAAAACAAGGGGGUCUGAUAACCAUAAGUUAACCUGCUCAACCCUGUUCCUGGAUAUCUACCGUCCUGUAGGUUUUCACUCCAACCCUAACAAAGCAGACCUCAUUCAACAGCUAGAGCAGGGCUGCCCAACCUUGUUCCUGGAUAUCUACCGUCCUGUAGGUUUUCACUCCAACCCAAACAAAGCUCACCUCAUUCAACAGCUAGAGCAGGGCUGCCCAACCUUGUUCCUGGAUAUCUACCGUCCUGUAGGUUUUCACUCCAACCCUAACAAAGCACACCUCAUUCAACAGCUAGAGCAGGGCUGCCCAACCCUGUUCCUGGAGAUCUACCGUCCUGUAGGUUUUCACUCCAACCCUAACAAAGCACACCUCACUCAACAGCUAGCGGUCUCGCUGAGCUACUAUUUAUUAUAAUUAGGUGUGCCAAAUUAGGGUUGGAGUGACAACCUACAGGUUGGGCAUCCCUGGUAUACAGCAUUUAAUUCUAAUUAAUUUAGAGUUUCUACAUCAUAUGCCUACAUUACAUUGCAUUACAGGCAUUUAGCAGACGCUCUUAUCCAGAGCGACGUACAAUGAAGUGCAGAUCAAACAUACAUGCAUACAUACACACACACACACAUACAUACACACACAUACACACACACACACACACAUACACACAUGCAUACAUACAUCGAACACGUACAUAAGGUCUCUCCACCCUGGUUAGUUGCAGCGUGGACACGCAGGGCGAAAACAUCCCAUCUGAAAGUGACGAAGCAGUGUCAGAUGCGUGACAGUGUAAAUGUAGCCAAUAAGAGGAUUUGUAAUUGUGGUGUAUGUGUGUUAAACUACUGACACAGAUAUCUAACUGACAAUCUUAUUGAAAGAAAAGGAUAUGAGCAGAGGAAUACAAAUUACUAUUAAAAAGUUAUAAUGAUUAUAAUAAUGAAAAUAAGAACAGUACAAAGCUGUAGUAAAUUAAUAAUAAUCACAGGUAAUGCUGAUAAUAAUGAACUGCUGUAUAAAAAAAUGUUUUGUAUAUUAUUCUGUGCACAACCCAUUAAAGAUUUAAACUGUUUGAAAGUC
Conger conger (European conger) is the source of this 3459-nucleotide long non-coding RNA. RefSeq lists it as uncharacterized. The transcript is spliced from 2 exons. NCBI's taxonomy places the organism in Eukaryota, Metazoa, Chordata, Actinopteri, Anguilliformes, Congridae. The record is from RefSeq and is a predicted model, not a curated record.